This is a long non-coding RNA of Eubalaena glacialis (North Atlantic right whale), 1413 nucleotides long. RefSeq lists it as uncharacterized. The record is from RefSeq and is a predicted model, not a curated record. Lineage: Eukaryota; Metazoa; Chordata; Mammalia; Artiodactyla; Balaenidae. The transcript is spliced from 3 exons.
UGAGAGGAAAUGCCCUCCUUCCUCUUUUUCUUCCUCCCCCCACCCCUUCCUGCCAACGCCUGUGCAGGAUGCACCAACGGGGAGUAGUCUGGGUGGGAAAGAACACAUUUUCCUUUUUAAAUGAGAAAGGUUUGUUUCACUCUGGGCCUCCCGCAGCUCAGCCAGGGAUCGAUUUCUCCAUGGCGGUGGGCCACAGGUCGGCCCUCAGGACCGCGUUUGAGAGGGCCAGCCACCUUCAAACCUGCCCACUCUGCCCGGGACUCCAGGCAGAGUGAAGCCCCUGAUCCAGCUUAGAAAAGAAAUCAGUGAGGUUUCUGCUCCCGUUCCUUCAUUCCUACCACCCACCCCUCUUGGCACCCCGAUGUCAUCAGUCCCUCUGGGGGGACCGAACCAUGACAAUGGAGAUCUGUGCUUCUGCUCACUCUAAUGGAGAGUCUCCUCAGCAUCAGCAUCCUCCCCCCUGUGGAAUGGACUACAGUUUAGGAGCUGAGACAGCAGCACCAAGUUGCCAGCCAGGUGAGGGAGCCGUCUUGGAAGUGGAUCCUCCAGCCCCAGUCAGGCCUUCAGGUGACUGCAUCCUCUGCUGAUACUGUGACUAAAACCUUUCUGUAAGAGACCCUGAACUGCAUCUGCCAAGCUAAGGAGAAUUUCUGACCCACAGAAACUGUGUGAGAACUAAAACCCCCAACAAAUGGAAGAUGUUAACUACUUGAUGAAGCAUUCUUCAUUCCAGAGAGAAGGUAACCUUGAGAACCACAGAAGCUCAUCAGGAGACCACCUGAGGCCAGAUUAAAGGAAUGCAGGCCCUUCACACACCCUGAUCCUUAUCAGCAACCCCGCCCUUGAACCAUUGCUAUAAAACUCACCAAGUCCCUCUGGGACACACAGUUUUGAAGGCAUUAGCUUGCUGUGUCCACUUUUGCCCGGCAAAGCAAUAAGGCUAUCCUUUUCUACUGCACCCAAAACUGUAUCCAAGAUUCAAUUUGGCACUGGUACACAGAGGCCGAGUUUCGGCAUCAGUCAUAACAUCUAUCUGCCUGUUUCCAUCAUAUCAUUUGAGCAAAGCAAACUCUUUAAUGUGUGUUCAUUUUUUAUAUUUUUAUGGAAAUCAUGAUUUUACCUUAUAACAAAGUCAUACCUUGUCCCAUUGUGUGGGGUGACGAGUAGCAGCUGGAUGAGUCUUUCUGUGUCCAAAUGAAUCCAAGCAGAGCUACUCUUCUCUGGGUUUACAAGGGGGACAGUGUGUCCAGGGAUGGCAGCUAGGGUGGCUGGCCUGGGCCCUGCAUCCCCACUCACUGAUUGGAAAGUUAUUCAGGAAAACUGGACAUGGUUUAGGGUGGCUCUGACCUUCAAGGAAGGGAAGGGGGUUCUCUGUCAUGGGCUGCCCUGCAGAUGAACUCUGCACUCUCUUUU